GAUGAACGCUAGCUACAGGCUUAACACAUGCAAGUCGAGGGGCAUCAGGAAGAAAGCUUGCUUUCUUUGCUGGCGACCGGCGCACGGGUGAGUAACACGUAUCCAACCUGCCCUUUACUCGGGGAUAGCCUUUCGAAAGAAAGAUUAAUACCCGAUGGCAUAAUGAUUCCGCAUGGUUUCAUUAUUAAAGGAUUCCGGUAAAGGAUGGGGAUGCGUUCCAUUAGGUUGUUGGUGAGGUAACGGCUCACCAAGCCUUCGAUGGAUAGGGGUUCUGAGAGGAAGGUCCCCCACAUUGGAACUGAGACACGGUCCAAACUCCUACGGGAGGCAGCAGUGAGGAAUAUUGGUCAAUGGGCGCUAGCCUGAACCAGCCAAGUAGCGUGAAGGAUGAAGGCUCUAUGGGUCGUAAACUUCUUUUAUAUAAGAAUAAAGUGCAGUAUGUAUACUGUUUUGUAUGUAUUAUAUGAAUAAGGAUCGGCUAACUCCGUGCCAGCAGCCGCGGUAAUACGGAGGAUCCGAGCGUUAUCCGGAUUUAUUGGGUUUAAAGGGAGCGUAGGUGGACUGGUAAGUCAGUUGUGAAAGUUUGCGGCUCAACCGUAAAAUUGCAGUUGAUACUGUCAGUCUUGAGUACAGUAGAGGUGGGCGGAAUUCGUGGUGUAGCGGUGAAAUGCUUAGAUAUCACGAAGGACUCCGAUUGCGAAGGCAGCUCACUGGACUGCAACUGACACUGAUGCUCGAAAGUGUGGGUAUCAAACAGGAUUAGAUACCCUGGUAGUCCACACAGUAAACGAUGAAUACUCGCUGUUUGCGAUAUACAGUAAGCGGCCAAGCGAAAGCAUUAAGUAUUCCACCUGGGGAGUACGCCGGCAACGGUGAAACUCAAAGGAAUUGACGGGGGCCCGCACAAGCGGAGGAACAUGUGGUUUAAUUCGAUGAUACGCGAGGAACCUUACCCGGGCUUAAAUUGCAGUGGAAUGAUGUGGAAACAUGUCAGUGAGCAAUCACCGCUGUGAAGGUGCUGCAUGGUUGUCGUCAGCUCGUGCCGUGAGGUGUCGGCUUAAGUGCCAUAACGAGCGCAACCCUUAUCUUUAGUUACUAACAGGUUAUGCUGAGGACUCUAGAGAGACUGCCGUCGUAAGAUGUGAGGAAGGUGGGGAUGACGUCAAAUCAGCACGGCCCUUACGUCCGGGGCUACACACGUGUUACAAUGGGGGGUACAGAAGGCAGCUAGCGGGUGACCGUAUGCUAAUCCCAAAAGCCUCUCUCAGUUCGGAUCGAAGUCUGCAACCCGACUUCGUGAAGCUGGAUUCGCUAGUAAUCGCGCAUCAGCCACGGCGCGGUGAAUACGUUCCCGGGCCUUGUACACACCGCCCGUCAAGCCAUGGGAGCCGGGGGUACCUGAAGUACGUAACCGCAAGGAUCGUCCUAGGGUAAAACUGGUGACUGG
RNAcentral lists this ribosomal RNA (1447 nucleotides) under uncultured organism. RNAcentral's name for it is "SSU rRNA". It matches the Rfam family "Bacterial small subunit ribosomal RNA". The record is from RNAcentral.